Molecule: long non-coding RNA, 93 nt
Organism: Alosa sapidissima (American shad)
Lineage: Eukaryota; Metazoa; Chordata; Actinopteri; Clupeiformes; Clupeidae
Exons: 3
Source: RefSeq, a predicted model, not a curated record
CAAAAGUUCUCCAACGGAAAGUUCCCAGAUGGAUAUGCCGAGCAAAUGCGAAGCAAUCCAUCUAGCGGAGUCAGGUUAACCAAUGACUCAUGA